RNAcentral lists this long non-coding RNA (844 nucleotides) under Zonotrichia albicollis (white-throated sparrow). RNAcentral describes it as "lncRNA (ENSZALG00000011174.1)". The record is from RNAcentral. Lineage: Eukaryota; Metazoa; Chordata; Aves; Passeriformes; Passerellidae.
GCCUCCCCAGUGGUUUGGGAAGCCCUGGUUCUCGUGGCGUGCUUUGCCUGUGCAGGGCUGAAUGCAUCAGAUCAGUUUGAACGUGCUUGAUGCCACAAAUCAGCACCUGCUGGGCAGUGAGCCUUGGCAUGUGCUCUAUUUUUGGGUGCAGAAUAAGGGAGCCAUUCAUCUCGAGCUGAUUUGCAAGGAUAAACUGGAGUGGGAGAGCAGCAGUGACUCAGCUCAGCGUUCUGGGCCUGCUCAGUAACUGUGGAGCUGCUCUGCUUCCCUCAGAUGGAAUGGACAAUCCUUCCCAACUCCAAGCACCUUGUCCCAGGCCUUUCCCACUGCCAUGAGUGGAGAGGAGACACAUGGCUCCUGCUUGAGGAGAGCAGAAAAGGCAUUUCCAUCCUGAAGGCAGUGGCUGGAAGGGCUGCCUGGGCUCUGACCUGCUGCAGGAGGCAGCCUCAUGUCAUGGAUAGGUUUGCUGCUGGAAGCUGGAGAAGUGGGACAAAGCUUGAGAAACUCCCCUUGGUUCUUCCUAUCCUUUGUGAAACUGGGAUGCACUGGGAUCCAGCUCUGCAUUGAGGUGUGGUGCUCCAUGUCCAGCAUCAUUUGGGAGCCCACAGGCUGGCCCAAGGGGUGCACAGAGAUGCCCAAGGGGGCUGGAGACCACCUUCACUCGGCAGCAGACACAGGCUCAGAGCUGCUGGAAGCCUCCUGGGAUGCUCCAGAGUCAGAAUUGAAAAUGGACACGGAUACUGCCACUGCCUGCUCACGUUUUCCCAGCAAUCCCAAACUGAAGAAAAGCGGUUUUUUUCCCUUUCCUAGGAGGAUUUUCUUACAUGGGAUACGAGGCGAGUGA